This 366-nucleotide unclassified non-coding RNA is filed under the name Hevea brasiliensis (rubber tree). Lineage: Eukaryota; Viridiplantae; Streptophyta; Magnoliopsida; Malpighiales; Euphorbiaceae. The record is from RNAcentral.
GAGAGAGAGAGAAAAGAAGGGGUUUUGAAAUUGAUGGUAAAGAAAAUGUAAAAAUUUGAAGGGGAAACUCAAGAUUCUGCUUAAAGAAUGGCUGCAGUCUGCAACAAGUCUUUAAGGACUGCAGUUAUUGGUAGAUGAUUUCUGAAAUAUGCUUAAAGAGAAGAUCAGAUCAUCAGAUUUUCUUUCCAGGAAAAGAGCAAGCAACUCAAGUUUACACUGUAGAUAAAGUUAGAAAAAGGAUGUGUAAGAGAGAGAAAGAGGUAGGGAAAGAGAGAGAGUCGAAUAGUCCCAUUGGCUCGGUUAACACUGCCCCCCACUGUUAAUAAGUUCAACAGGACAAGAGAGUGUUUUGUUUUGCCAUAAUAG